Molecule: ribosomal RNA, 425 nt
Filed under: uncultured bacterium
Lineage: Bacteria
Description: bacterial SSU rRNA
Rfam family: Bacterial small subunit ribosomal RNA
Source: RNAcentral
GUGGGGAAUCUUGCGCAAUGGGGGAAACCCUGACGCAGCGACGCCGCGUGGAGGAUGAAGGCUUUCGGGUUGUAAACUCCUUUUGUAGGGGAAAAUAAUGAUGGUACCCUACGAAUAAGCCACGGCUAACUCUGUGCCAGCAGCCGCGGUAAGACAGAGGUGGCGAGCGUUGUUCGGAAUUACUGGGCUUAAAGGGCGAGUAGGCGGCGGGACAAGUCUGGUGUGGAAUCUUAGGGCUUAACCCUAAAACUGCAUCAGAAACUGUUUUGCUUGAGUCAGUGAGGGGAGGGCGGAAUUCCUGGUGUAGCGGUGAAAUGCGUAGAUAUCAGGAGGAAGGCCGGUGGCGAAGGCGGCCCUCUGGCACUGUACUGACGCUGAGGCGCGAAAGCGUGGGGAGCAAACAGGAUUAGAUACCCCAGUAGUCC